AUUGAACGCUGGCGGCAGGCCUAACACAUGCAAGUCGAGCGGAUGAAGGGAGCUUGCUCCUGAAUUCAGCGGCGGACGGGUGAGUAAUGCCUAGGAAUCUGCCUGGUAGUGGGGGAUAACGUCCGGAAACGGGCGCUAAUACCGCAUACGUCCUGAGGGAGAAAGUGGGGGAUCUUCGGACCUCACGCUAUCAGAUGAGCCUAGGUCGGAUUAGCUAGUUGGUGGGGUAAAGGCCUACCAAGGCGACGAUCCGUAACUGGUCUGAGAGGAUGAUCAGUCACACUGGAACUGAGACACGGUCCAGACUCCUACGGGAGGCGGCAGUGGGGAAUAUUGGACAAUGGUCGAAAGCCUGAUCCAGCCAUGCCGCGUGUGUGAAGAAGGUCUUCGGAUUGUAAAGCACUUUAAGUUGGGAGGAAGGGCAGUAAGUUAAUACCUUGCUGUUUUGACGUUACCAACAGAAUAAGCACCGGCUAACUUCGUG
This 484-nucleotide ribosomal RNA is filed under the name uncultured bacterium. RNAcentral's name for it is "partial 16S ribosomal RNA". It matches the Rfam family "Bacterial small subunit ribosomal RNA", at positions 30 to 507 of the family's 1533-position model. The record is from RNAcentral.